Molecule: ribosomal RNA, 280 nt
Filed under: Pseudomonas aeruginosa
Lineage: Bacteria; Pseudomonadati; Pseudomonadota; Gammaproteobacteria; Pseudomonadales; Pseudomonadaceae
Description: partial 16S ribosomal RNA
Rfam family: Bacterial small subunit ribosomal RNA
Source: RNAcentral
CAAAUGAAUUGACGGGGGCCCGCACAAGCGGUGGAGCAUGUGGUUUAAUUCGAUGCAACGCGAAGAACCUUACCUACUCUUGACAUCCAGAGAACUUUCCAGAGAUGGAUUGGUGCCUUCGGGAACUCUGAGACAGGUGCUGCAUGGCUGUCGUCAGCUCGUGUUGUGAAAUGUUGGGUUAAGUCCCGCAACGAGCGCAACCCUUAUCCUUUGUUGCCAGCGGUUCGGCCGGGAACUCAAAGGAGACUGCCAGUGAUAAACUGGAGGAAGGUGGGGAUGA